AAUUCAUAAUGUGGGCAUCUCUGAAUCAGCGUCUUAAAACGCUCCUAAGCUUCAUGGAAACUCUCUCCUUCUAGCUGCUUGAAAGUUGCAAUCUCUUUUAUUAGUU
Gossypium raimondii (Peruvian cotton) is the source of this 106-nucleotide non-coding RNA. Lineage: Eukaryota; Viridiplantae; Streptophyta; Magnoliopsida; Malvales; Malvaceae. The record is from Rfam.